AUCGGCCUGCGAUACACGUGAUAUUAAUUUUGUUUCUGGACUAAUGAAAUAUCGGGAGUCGAGCCCUCUGUGGCGCACAAGCCGGACACGAUCCGGAUCUGUAAAGCAGAAAAGGCAGAUGCCCACUUGAACUUAGAGUUCGAGAAAACAAUUAAUACACGGUAUCGCGGGUAAAAU
Molecule: non-coding RNA, 177 nt
Filed under: Cloacimonas sp. (SeqCode)
Lineage: Bacteria; Pseudomonadati; Candidatus Cloacimonadota; Cloacimonadia (SeqCode); Cloacimonadales (SeqCode); Cloacimonadaceae (SeqCode)
Description: 6S RNA
Rfam family: 6S / SsrS RNA
About the family: E. coli 6S RNA was the first non coding RNA to be sequenced, but its function was unknown until recently.
Source: RNAcentral